Long non-coding RNA from Herpailurus yagouaroundi (jaguarundi), 538 nucleotides. RefSeq lists it as uncharacterized. Lineage: Eukaryota; Metazoa; Chordata; Mammalia; Carnivora; Felidae. The record is from RefSeq and is a predicted model, not a curated record. The transcript has 3 exons.
GCUGGCCCUCAGCCGCGGUGCUCUACUGUCCAUCGGUUCCACUUUUGUUUUCUCGAAGGCUUUUUGAGUCCAGGGGGAUUCCAGAAGCCUGAGGGAGCAGGAAAACGGGGGCCUGUCUACAGGACUUGUAGAGUGUCCUUGGUGCAUGGUGACUGGCUUCCCCGAGUGCAAUCCAUCCAAGGACCAAGGCAGAAGUUGCAAUACCUUUUACCACUUAGCCCCAGGAGUCGCACAUCACCACCUCCACUGUAUUCUGUUGGUCGUACAGACAUUGCUGAUCUCCAUGUGACGUUUUUGUAACAAGCCUGUACCUUAAAACGAGACUAGGUGAGGGCUGCAGUCGGAGGUGGUGGGCAGCCAGAAAGGCAUUUGCAAUUGAUUCGAAGGUGAAUACUUGCAGCCAGCCCAUUUCCAGGAUUCCACGUUAGGACUACACCCCACCUGUGACUUCCCUGGAAAAACCCUCUGAACACAGAAACUCAGCUCCACCCUUCUUUGACUUCAGAUCCAUAGGAGAGAUAUAGAGUGGUUUUCAUUA